CACGUGCGGCUCCCUUCUUCCGGCUCAGCUGGGGGUGGCAGGUGGUGGCUGAGCUCGCGUCUGCUUCCCGCGCCCGGGAUCCUCCUUCAGCUCUUCCAGCUCCUGGGCCUGGUGUCGUGUUUAGCUCCAUGCCAAGACCGCCCGCAUCUUUCCGGCAUCCGCAGGACGGUCCAGUCCCGUCAAGGUCAGCCUCAGUGAGAACUUACGGGGGCUCCAUGUGAUGCUAAUGGGGUUCCCACUUCCCCUGGACCUCCCCUACGCUAUGCCUUCCCUUCCGAGCAAGCCUUCCCUGCAGAUGUGUCGCUUCAGAAGUCCUCGCAGGAACAAUGGACUAGCGGGGGUUGCUUACCCAGCCCCGACGAUUGUGUGAAUCAGGGGCCCCUAGCAGAGUGUCAGGUGUCAGGCCUCUUCGCUCUUGCUCCUGCGUCUCUGAUUGAACCCUGAGCAACGAUACAGACGUUCUUGUACAUUUUUCUCUGGCCUUGCCUGGAACAGCUCACCUUUUUUGGCUCUACAAGAUAGGAGAAACCUUUUGAAUGCAGCUGCUUGUUUGGGCUGAUAGAGAGGCCUGAGGAGACAUUUAUUCAUUCCUUUUAGAAGAUAGCCUCUUCCCUUCCCUCUGGAGUUAGCGCUUGCCAGAGUGGCUGCUGUCUGGCAACCAGGCAGUCCAGGGUGGUCAAGUUUCAAAUGUCACUACGCAAAUGGCAGUUCCAAGGACUGAAGUCAAGGAUUGAAAUGCCAAACAUUAAAUGUCCCUCAAAUACAUGUUUUCCCAACUAGUGACUUGCCACAGAAAUAAACAGCAAUUAUGCAAAAGUACCUCCUCCCCCGCAUUUUCAUUUCCCUCCCUGUGUUCCCAAAACCAUUACACGGAGUACUUUGUGACAAAAAGAUGUCUCAGUGUGGCCCACUUAGUAUUUUGAAGCAUAGAAAUGAUGGUAGGGCACAUAUGCCAUAGAACCACUAAAUGACAGAAUCAUCACUGGCCUAGUUUUCUAAGUCACUGUGACAGACGCAAGGGGAUUGCUUUUAAAGCUCCUGAUGACACAUCAAGAAAAGGGAAGAGGAUGUCUCUGCUUUAGAAAAGAGACUUAAAUGGACGCCUGGGUGGCUCAGUGGUUGAGCAUCUGCCUUCAAUCCAGAGCUUGAUCCCGGGUAUCAAGUUCUGCAUCGGGCUCCCUGCAUGGAGCCUGCUUCUCCCUCUGUCUGUGUCUCUGCCUCUCUCUCUUUGUGUCUCAUGAAUAAAUAGUUUAAAAAAAAAGAAAAAGAAAAGAGACUUAAAGAAUCUUAUUUCUGACUUAGGAAUAAGUUUUGAAUUUAGCCUUUUUAUUAUUUUAAAGAUGGUGCACAGAAAAUGAAAAGCAAAUGAUCAGGUACUUACCUGAAAACCCCUGAUGGAGGCACCUUACCCAAUAGCCUGUGAAUGCAUCGAUGGAGAGAAUGGCACACACUUUUUGCUAUUUAGGGUCCUUGGGAUGGCAUCACUUACUGCAGGGGAAAUUUCACCACAGAGCAAUGAGCCAAAGAAAACAUUACUAUUUAACGAUUACAGGCUGCUGUAAUUCAGUUUCCUUGCCACGAACAGCAAAUGAGUCAAGCUAACUAAUGCAGAAGGUUGAACUUGUUUUCUUUUGAGGAGCCCCAGGAGAAGUUCCACAGUGACUUUUUGCUCACACAACCCAGUUCUUCUUCUCUUGCUUGCGUAGUUACUCAUCCAUAUCUGAAUCCAGAUGGGAUCAGGAGAAAUGACAGGAUGAACUUUCAAGAAGAAUCAGGCUAGCUUUUGAUCAUUCUGUGAGAGACGAGGGAGCUUCUGGAAUAUCUCUGAUGUCUAAAAUCUGUCUUGUGGAGAACGCUGGUACCUCAAGUUGUAGUAAGCUUGCACUGAAUCCCAAGUGAAGGGAGGAAAAAAAAGAAAACCCACGUGAUUCAAACUCUUUUAUGGAAACAAACAAAUCAACAAGCAAAAUAAAUCCACACUAUAUGCUCUGAAUCAUUAUAUUAGUAAAGGUCCCUAGGAUAGCACCUUUUGGGAUUGUUGCUUUAUAUCAAAACUUUUUUCUUUAGUUACUAGACUGUCUACUAAAUGAGUUGAAGCCUGUAGACCUUGAAUGAAAAGUAGGUUGAUGAAGUGCAGCAGUUUGAAUUUUGAUGCCAUACAGAGUUGGCAGUUUUAGGAACUAAAAAAGUAGGACUCCCACCAAAUUUGAAUUCCAGAUAAAUCAUGAAUAAUUUUGUAGUAUGAGUAUGUCCCAAUUGUUGUAUGGGUCAUAUCUAUACUAGGAAAUGUUCACUAUUCUCCCAAAAUACUUAAAACUAAAGAUAUUUUCUCAUCUGAAAUUCAGUUUUAACUGGGCGUCCAGUAUUUUAUGUGGGAACCCUAGUGCUAUAGCAGGAUUGUAACGGACUCAUAGAUAAACAUUUUUAUGGGAUUGAAUGGAGGUGUAGGAAGUAUGUGUUACCUGUGCCUGGGUAACCUGCUUUUUGGGUAUAUGGCUGCUCUUAUUAAGAAGGACUCCUCUCAUUUACCUGGUAACAGAGCUGCCAGCAGCUAUCCCUCCACGGCAGCCUGAGGCCUGGGUUGCUGCUGUUGCCCCCGUAGGAGAUCUGCUGGUGAGACCUGUUUCUCCCCGGGCUCUGUGGAGACCUACAGACAGCUGAAACUAUGCCACCUCUUCCCAUCAGUGUGCAGCAUGUUCUGGUAGUGAUGAGAGCUUAGAAUGUUUUACCCUCUUUUUGGUUAAGAAUCUUGUUCUCUUUCCCCACUGGGACUAGAAAAAAGGGAAACUGAUCAGAACUUACUUUUGGGCACACUCAAAGUCUGUGUUUUCUGUGUGAGGCCAUCCAACCUUGCAUCCUGGAGACAGAAUCCUUAAAGACAACUUUGAUCUACUACGUCAAAGCCGACAUGAACCCAAUCAAGCAAGAUGGACAUGUUAUAUAAGAGCCCCUCUGCUCCCAAUUGUUUUUUUUUUAAUUGCUAGUGUCCAAUGUGGGCUGUAUAGAGGAUAUGGAGAUGUCCAAAUACAAAUUUUGGAAGUGACCAAGAGAAAGGAAAAUGCUUGUUGAAGAGGCAAGCACAGAUGCUGUGAGAACUCCUGUCUGUUGGUACAUAACAAGGUGCUGAAGAUCCCAGAGUAGGGAAUGACUGUGUUGUUCCUGGUCAAGUCAUGGAAGAAUUUAUGGAGGCAGGAGGAUUUCAUUUUGGAGCUGAACCCUGAAUGGAAAAGGAGUUUUGUAGGUGGAGGAGGAGAGAGGAGAAAGGUGAGCCUGCUGCACAUGAAUUAAAGACAGAGCGCAUUGGUUCAGGAAUGGUGGCUGAAGAGCAGGUAGAGAUGGUGGUAGAUGAAACUGAAAUGGGGAGUCUGUGUUUGGAUCCUAAAGACCAUGAAUACUUUGCUAAGAAAAUGAAGUCUCAUCUGGUAAGGAAUAAGGAACACAGCACAAAUCUUGCCUUUCCAUGAAGAUAUCACAAAUCCAUGCUAUCAGGAGUUUACAGUCUCUACAAUGACCAGGAAUAGUUUUUUAAGAAGUUUACUAUCAUUUCCUUAUAUUUUUGUAAAUAUAUAAAACAUUAAAGGCAGUUUAAAAAAUAAAAACUCAUAAUCUGAUCACCAUAAUGCCAUUAUUAUAAUUUUUAUAGUAUUGCAUUCUAUUUGCCAUCAAAUUGCAUAUAUAUUUGACAGAAAUGCCAUAAAAUUGCAUCUGUAAAUUUUUAAAUAAGUAAUAUACUCAUAUAAUACAAAAAUCAAAAGAUAUGAAGGAUUUACAAUAAAGAGUAUGUAUAUUGAAUUUUUUUACAUAAUGGUAUAGUCUUCUAUAUCUUAGUAUAAGGCUGCCUCAUUCUUUUUUACUGGCAACAUAAUGUUAUCAAAUUCCCUCUUGAUGGGUAUUUGGAUUGUUUCUAAAUUUUGUUAAUGCUACAGUGAAUAUUCUUGUAACUAUGUUAUUUUGCAUACUUGUGACUAUGGCUGUAGUCUAAUUUUGUAGAUACAGAAUCUCUCUAGGUUUCAGUAUGUAUUUUAAAAAUUCUGGAUGUACUCCACGGAGGCUGUGCCAUCUUAUAAGGAAUGUGUGAAGGUUUCAGGUUCCCCACACUCUAAUGAAACUUUGUAUUAUCAAACUGAUUUGUCAGUUUUGAGAGAUUAAAAGUUAUAUUUAUUUUUUAUGUGCAUGUAUAUGAUUGUGUGUAUCCGUUUUCAUGUGUGUUUAUAUUAUUAUGAAUGAAGUUUAGCAUCUCAUACUAUUUUUUAAAGUUGUUUUAUUUAUUAAGGUAAUAAAUCUUUUUUUUUUUUUUACUUAUUUAGGUAAUCUCUCCCACACCAUAUGGGGCUCAAAUUCAUGACCCAGAGACCAAGAGUUGUAUGUUCUUUCAACUGAGCCAGGCACCCAUAGCAUCUCAUACUUUUAAUAGACAUUAUUAUUUCCUUUUUUGUGAGAACUAUUGGUCACCUUUUCCCUAUUUUUCUAUUGAAGUGUCUUUAUCUUAGUGAUUUUAGGAAUUUUAAAAAUAUCUGUAUCUGAUUUAAAAAGGUCUCUUCCAAUUCUGAGAUUAAAAACAUAUUUAAUAUGUUUUUAUUUAAUUUUCUUUAUUUGCACUGUUGGUUAUCCUGGAAUUUAUUUGGGGUAAGGUAUAAGGAAAAGGUCUAACUGACUUUUUUCCUAGAUGGGUAACUAAUUAUCAAAUUUUG
Molecule: long non-coding RNA, 4691 nt
Organism: Canis lupus familiaris (dog)
Lineage: Eukaryota; Metazoa; Chordata; Mammalia; Carnivora; Canidae
Exons: 3
Source: RefSeq, a predicted model, not a curated record